Molecule: ribosomal RNA, 521 nt
Filed under: uncultured bacterium
Lineage: Bacteria
Description: partial 16S ribosomal RNA
Rfam family: Bacterial small subunit ribosomal RNA
Source: RNAcentral
UGGGGAAUCUUAGACAAUGGGGGCAACCCUGAUCUAGCCAUGCCGCGUGAGUGAUGAAGGCCUUAGGGUUGUAAAGCUCUUUCAGCUGGGAAGAUAAUGACGGUAUCAGCAGAAGAAGCCCCGGCUAACUCCGUGCCAGCAGCCGCGGUAAUACGGAGGGGGCUAGCGUUGUUCGGAAUUACUGGGCGUAAAGCGCACGUAGGCGGACUGGAAAGUCAGAGGUGAAAUCCCAGGGCUCAACCUUGGAACUGCCUUUGAAACUAUCAGUCUGGAGUUCGAGAGAGGUGAGUGGAAUUCCGAGUGUAGAGGUGAAAUUCGUAGAUAUUCGGAGGAACACCAGUGGCGAAGGCGGCUCACUGGCUCGAUACUGACGCUGAGGUGCGAAAAGCGUGGGGAGCAAAACAGGAUUAGAUACCCUGGUAGUCCACGCCGUAAAACGAUGAAUGCCAGACGUCGGCAAGCAUGCUUGUCGGUGUCACACCUAACGGAUUAAAGCAUUCCGCCUGGGGGAGUACGGUCGC